RNAcentral lists this long non-coding RNA (713 nucleotides) under Cricetulus griseus (Chinese hamster). RNAcentral's name for it is "lncRNA (ENSCGRG00015033814.1)". The record is from RNAcentral. Lineage: Eukaryota; Metazoa; Chordata; Mammalia; Rodentia; Cricetidae.
AGACCCAAGAAAUCAUAUUACCUGAGUAAACAAGAAGUACAAAGCAACCAACUUCUAAAACUGUAGAAAUGACAGAAACAGAUGACUGCCCGAACAGUCACCCAAGGUUCCUCUGCAACAUUGGGGCAUCCAUCUUCAGCCUACAGGGCUAGAAUAUCUGACAGACUUUUCUGUGAAGCAGGAAUUUUGAAGGACUGUCCUACUUUGACUUGGCAAAAUUCGGCAGUUGCUUUCUUUUGUGUCCUGCUUAUUCAGUUUGUACAACAUGCUGUCAGCAGUUGAGGAAACUUUACCUGUUUGUUCUCAAGAUUGUGGGGCUUAAGACCAGAAGUCCAUCACAUACAUGAGGUCCAGGAAGGCCUCAGACUACCUCACUGGAAGCACCAGGGGAAGUAGUUUAAGGGAAUGAAGAACAUCAGAGGACAGAACCCAGCAGGGCUCAGCAGAUCUUGGAAAACCAGCAGCUGUGGAGUAAGGAACAGGCCAAGUGACACGAGUAGGUUGAUGCUGACACUGUGUGAAUGUGAACAAUGGUAUUCGAGAAAGUUCCUGGAAAGCAAAUUACAGUGUGUUCAACACCCAAGUGUAAAGAACCAAAAAUCUGGUUUAGCUGGACAAAAUUUGUACUAAUUAAAAUGCCAUUUUGUUCUUUAAUUCCAACGUAGACAUUAAAAUUGGCCUUCAUAUCUUUACCAUACCAAAACCUAUGGCAG